Molecule: ribosomal RNA, 492 nt
Filed under: uncultured bacterium
Lineage: Bacteria
Description: partial 16S ribosomal RNA
Rfam family: Bacterial small subunit ribosomal RNA
Source: RNAcentral
AGUGAACGCUGGCGGCAUGCCUAACACAUGCAAGUCGAACGGCAGCACAGUAAGAGCUUGCUCUUACGGGUGUCGAGUGGCGGACGGGUGACGAAUACAUCGGAUUCUACUUUUUCGUGGGGGAUAACGUAGGGAAACUUACGCUAAUACCGCAUACGACGUACGGGUGAAAGCAGGGGAUCUUCGGACCUUGCGCGAUUGAAUGAGCCGAUGUCGGAUUAGCUAGUUGGCGGGGUAAAGGCCCACCAAGGCGACGAUCCGUAGCUGGUCUGAGAGGAUGAUCAGCCACACUGGAACUGAGACACGGUCCAGACUCCUACGGGAGGCAGCAGUGGGGAAUAUUGGACAAUGGGCGCAAGCCUGAUCCAGCCAUACCGCGUGGGUGAAGAAGGCCUUCGGGUUGUAAAGCCCUUUUGUUGGGAAAGAAAAGCAGCAGGUUAAUACCCCGCUGUUCUGACGGUACCCAAAGAAUAAGCACCGGCUAACUUCGUG